This 291-nucleotide long non-coding RNA is filed under the name Nicotiana benthamiana. RNAcentral describes it as "long non-coding RNA (NBEN_LNC040459)". The record is from RNAcentral. Lineage: Eukaryota; Viridiplantae; Streptophyta; Magnoliopsida; Solanales; Solanaceae.
CUGUGCCUUCGCAGCGGCGUCUGGGUCUCUGCAUCCUUUGUUGUUGAUGUUUGUUGAAGUACGUUUCGUGGAGCCGAGUGGAAUCGCGAUUGUGACUUUUAUGUUUAUAGAUGACGAUAGAUAGCUUUAAGUAGGAGGCAACUGACAACGAUGUGGCAAAGGCUUAUAGAUGACGAUAGAUAGCUUUAAGUAGUAGGCAACUGACAACGAUGUGGCAAAGGCGAAUGGAUGGAAUCUUGUUAUGGAAUUUGGCACCCAGCACACGAAACGUCCGGGUAAAUUGGAAAAUCU